AUCACGUCACAUCCGUGACGCCGGACGAGGGGAACCGUACCCGGCCAGCGACAAGACGGUGCCGC
Molecule: non-coding RNA, 65 nt
Filed under: Mycobacterium intermedium
Lineage: Bacteria; Bacillati; Actinomycetota; Actinomycetes; Mycobacteriales; Mycobacteriaceae
Source: RNAcentral